CACGUCCACGACGUAUUUCUCCUUUGGAAUAUGAUACGGUCUCCGAAAUCGAACUCGUUGAGACCGACCCAUCUGAAGAAUUGGUUCGGCGCGAGCGCUUCUUCGUUCGUCUCCCUCGACGCGCUCCAUUCCCGACCCAGAUUCUGGUCGGAAUCCCUUCUCAAAGCAGUCAGUCGGAAACCAAUCGCAGAUUCAAUAGGUUAGGGUGACCCACGGCGUCAACUCGGGACAAGCGGUACCGUCUUGUUCUUGAAUUAUUUGUGUUUUCUUUUCUUCUGCACUACCACAUCUGUGUUUUUCUUGAAUGGGAGUGGUGGUCGUUUCAGAUUCAAGCAAUAGAAAUAUACUCUGCUUAUCAUCUCUUCGUCAUGAUUACCGAUAGCUCAAUCUUCGAUUGCCUUGCUGUGAUUGUAGCGAAGGUUUCAUGUCGGAUUCUGUUUCGGUGCCAUCUUGUAUGGAUUAUCCAUUUGCAUUCACCAUCUGACGCCAAAGUUGCAUAGAUUUUUGGAUCUGUUAUAUUUCUCACCGAUGUGGUGACUCGUAGUUUUAUGUACGACUCUGAUUUGGGUUCUUUUAUUAGGGAUGUUGAAUCAUUGAGCACUAUAAGGAUUAGAUUACUAGGAUAUAAAAGAAUUAUUAAGUUGAAGCUCUUCUACAUGUAGAGGUAUCCUCCUCAAUUUGGGUGGUUCUUUUCUCAUCAUUGAUUUAAGAAUUUAAUGUGUGGAACCAAUGGUUUUGUAGAGUAUCAACUUAGACUUAUUCAGCUAUGUUUUCCCUUGAUGUUUCUUUUUAGUCAUUUUCUCUUUUUAUUCCAAUAGUUUUAUCUUCAUUUUCUAACCUUCUUUUAUGUUUACAAAAUUAAGCUUUAACUUUAAGCUUCCAUGAAAAUAUUUUGGUAGACUUUCCAACUUGAUUGUCCCAUUUGAUAUUUGCAAAAAUCAUUUCACGAUAAACUUAGGCCUGUUCAUGUCAUCAUCAAUAUCAAGAUUCUAAGUUUUUGUUCUCCCAUUCAGACAAGAUCGAUAAGAGCGAUCGGAAACAUGUACAUUCAGUUGCUAACCUAGUAAAAAACAAACCCCAUGAGACUCCCAUCAAUGCUGGAUUUGGUGAGGGUCAUCUCAGUGAUUUAAGAUAAGUUUUUCUAUAAUUCAACCUUGGUCAUUUAUGUCGCAAUGAAGUGACCUUAUCGUCGUACUAAUUUGUAUAUCGAAAUUGAAGAUGGUAAUUAUUAAUUUGUUAUACUAGUGUUAUAGAUAUUGGCAGUGAUGAAGGUCUUUGGGCAAAUUUAUUAUGCUUGUUGCUUGUUACCCUUUUAAUGGAAAUCAGUACUUGAGGGUUGCUAUCAUGGCAUCAGUCUUAAUCUUCACAUUAUUUAUUGCAUUUGUGGUGGGUUAACAUAGGCCUCGUUUUAAAGACACAAUGCUUUGGUAUGAAAACAUCCCAAACUGGUGAAUAUUCUUAUUGCAAAGUUCAGUAGAUUAUGAUAUAUAAAUUAUACCGAAUGAUCGAUAUAUAUGAUUUUGUUAUUGUUAUUGUUGUUGUAUAUAGAUUGCGCCUGUAUAUAACAAUAGAAAUUAAGAUAAUUCUCAAACUUUAUUCUUGCCAAGUUUCCAUGAACUUUAUUUUAGCUUAUCUCCAUGAACUUUAUUCUUUGCCGUGAAUAAGCACGACUUCAAACCAUCUUUUCCUCGGGCUCGGGUUCCAACUGCAUGUUUUGAGGUACCUUAAGCACUCUCUAUGCUACACAUGAAUAGCAUUACUCUUUUACUCUUUUCAGUUUCUUUUUAUCUUAUUCCCAUUUGUUAUUUGCAUUCUUGACUAUGGUGAAGUUUGGUGAUUAGAGUUGCUUUAUUCUUUCCUUGGCGGGCAACUUAGGGCCACUGUGGUCCUUCAAACGCUAUGAUACCAUCAGCUGCCGGUGUCCUGUUAGUUUCAUCUGUACCUCCUCAUUUGAUGCUGAUUACCACUUGCCUAUCAUUAAUUGAUUUUGAUCAUUAUGUUGGGCCAAAAUGUUUUUGCCUGAGAGUUCAGUCUGCACGCAACAAUUGAUUUGGAGGUCAAGGUCAUUGCAAGACCCUACUGCUUUUCCUCUUUGACUCAUCUUUAGUGUGUGCUUAACAAAAGCCAGAGGCCUUGAUGGAAGUGCUGGUAUCAAUAGGAUGUGGUCCUCGAAGAGCGAGGAGUCACAACAGGCUGAAAGCCUCACUAUCUUAGCUGGGUUGAGAAGAGUAUAAUAGCAGACCUAAGCAAUGUUGGCAUCAGAGUUGGAUUCUGAGAAGAUUAUUAGCCAUUUAAAAUCACUCUUUGGACGUUCCCUGGUUGCUGGGAUCAAUACUUACUGACUUAGCUUCGAUGGCUAUGGAAGCUAAUGUAGACGAUUUUUGCAGUGUAAGCAGGAAUGAGAAUCCUCAAUGAAACGACAGAUUCUGCUUCAAAAACAGAAGCAAAAGGGUGCUAAACUUGAUUGGCUCCAAGUUAAAACUCAAGCUGAUGUUGUCUUGCCGAUUGUAACUGUUCUUCCCAGUUUUUACUUCUAUUUUGCUGGCAAGAUUAUGAUUGCCACACCAUAAGGUGGUCAACGAGUCACUUGGUAUGAUUUGAUAUCUGUGAGAAACCCUUCCACGAAGGCCGACUCUGUAUCUGCUCCUGUGCGUUGCUCCUUGUUGCUGCUACCCUUUUCAUCAAACACAGAUGCCUUUAUCCAACAACAUCCAUUGUAUUUUGUGUGACUGAGGGUUGAAGAACCUCAUCUUUUGAGCAUGACCGGUGGUAAAACACAUACAUUGUGUUUCCCUGGAUGAUUUUUGUGUGAAUGCUUGUGAUACUACCACCUGUUCUUCUACCCUGGCACGAUGAUGACCAUUCUCUUUGCUCCAUAUAAUGGAUCAAGAAUAUC
RNAcentral lists this long non-coding RNA (2896 nucleotides) under Musa acuminata (dwarf banana). Its description in RNAcentral is "long non-coding RNA (MACU_LNC001501)". Lineage: Eukaryota; Viridiplantae; Streptophyta; Magnoliopsida; Zingiberales; Musaceae. The record is from RNAcentral.